CGGGUGAGUAACGCGUGGGUAACCUGCCUUGUACAGGGGGAUAACAGUUGGAAACGGCUGCUAAUACCGCAUAAGCGCACAGCAUCGCAUGAUGCAGUGUGAAAAACUCCGGUGGUAUAAGAUGGACCCGCGUUGGAUUAGCUAGUUGGUGAGGUAACGGCCCACCAAGGCGACGAUCCAUAGCCGACCUGAGAGGGUGACCGGCCACAUUGGGACUGAGACACGGCCCAA
This 231-nucleotide ribosomal RNA is filed under the name uncultured bacterium. RNAcentral's name for it is "partial 16S ribosomal RNA". It matches the Rfam family "Bacterial small subunit ribosomal RNA", at positions 103 to 334 of the family's 1533-position model. The record is from RNAcentral.